GGGGGUAUAGCUCAGAGAUAGAGCACUGGACUGCAGAGCAAGAGGCCCCCAGUUCAAUUCCAAAUAUCCCCU
Molecule: transfer RNA, 72 nt
Filed under: Chlorocebus sabaeus (green monkey)
Lineage: Eukaryota; Metazoa; Chordata; Mammalia; Primates; Cercopithecidae
Rfam family: tRNA
About the family: Transfer RNA (tRNA) molecules are approximately 80 nucleotides in length. Their secondary structure includes four short double-helical elements and three loops (D, anti-codon, and T loops).
Source: Rfam by way of RNAcentral